CACUUGUGAUGCCAGUUGGGCUGCUUUGCGAGGCUGGAUUACAAUCAUGCAUAUAAAAUGCAAUAUAAGCUCUGAGCCAGGUGUUUUGGUGGUAGUUAAUGUCAUAAUUUAUUUCCAUGGAGCACAGAAUAUUGAGAUGGGAUUGUGACUGGACUAGAAUAAGAAUGGAAAACGCUCAGAUCCCUGGGACCUGGAGCUGGAUUUGGGGACUCCAAUGACGUUUUGUUGGAUUCUUUAAGAGUUCCUGAAGUCCAUGGCACAACUUUCUUC
Hipposideros armiger (great roundleaf bat) is the source of this 270-nucleotide long non-coding RNA. RefSeq lists it as uncharacterized. The transcript is spliced from 3 exons. Lineage: Eukaryota; Metazoa; Chordata; Mammalia; Chiroptera; Hipposideridae. The record is from RefSeq and is a predicted model, not a curated record.